UUUGACGGAGAGUUUGAUCCUGGCUCAGGACGAACGCUGGCGGCGUGCUUAACACAUGCAAGUCGAACGAUGAUGCCCAGCUUGCUGGGCGGAUUAGUGGCGAACGGGUGAGUAAUACGUGAGUAACCUGCCCUUGACUCUGGGAUAAGCCUGGGAAACUGGGUCUAAUACUGGAUACUACGUCCCAUCGCAUGGUGGGGGGUGGAAAGGGUUUUACUGGUUUUGGAUGGGCUCACGGCCUAUCAGCUUGUUGGUGGGGUAAUGGCUCACCAAGGCGACGACGGGUAGCCGGCCUGAGAGGGUGACCGGCCACACUGGGACUGAGACACGGCCCAGACUCCUACGGGAGGCAGCAGUGGGGAAUAUUGCACAAUGGGCGGAAGCCUGAUGCAGCGACGCCGCGUGAGGGAUGACGGCCUUCGGGUUGUAAACCUCUUUCAGUAGGGAAGAAGCGAGAGUGACGGUACCUGCAGAAGAAGCGCCGGCUAACUACGUGCCAGCAGCCGCGGUAAUACGUAGGGCGCAAGCGUUGUCCGGAAUUAUUGGGCGUAAAGAGCUCGUAGGCGGUUUGUCGCGUCUGCUGUGAAAGCCCGGGGCUCAACCCCGGGUCUGCAGUGGGUACGGGCAGACUAGAGUGCAGUAGGGGAGACUGGAAUUCCUGGUGUAGCGGUGAAAUGCGCAGAUAUCAGGAGGAACACCGAUGGCGAAGGCAGGUCUCUGGGCUGUUACUGACGCUGAGGAGCGAAAGCAUGGGGAGCGAACAGGAUUAGAUACCCUGGUAGUCCAUGCCGUAAACGUUGGGCACUAGGUGUGGGGGACAUUCCACGUUUUCCGCGCCGUAGCUAACGCAUUAAGUGCCCCGCCUGGGGAGUACGGCCGCAAGGCUAAAACUCAAAGGAAUUGACGGGGGCCCGCACAAGCGGCGGAGCAUGCGGAUUAAUUCGAUGCAACGCGAAGAACCUUACCAAGGCUUGACAUUCACCGGAUCGCCCCAGAGAUGGGGUUUCCCUUCGGGGUCGGUGGACAGGUGGUGCAUGGUUGUCGUCAGCUCGUGUCGUGAGAUGUUGGGUUAAGUCCCGCAACGAGCGCAACCCUCGUUCUAUGUUGCCAGCACGUGAUGGUGGGGACUCAUAGGAGACUGCCGGGGUCAACUCGGAGGAAGGUGGGGAUGACGUCAAAUCAUCAUGCCCCUUAUGUCUUGGGCUUCACGCAUGCUACAAUGGCCGGUACAAAGGGUUGCGAUACUGUGAGGUGGAGCUAAUCCCAAAAAGCCGGUCUCAGUUCGGAUUGAGGUCUGCAACUCGACCUCAUGAAGUCGGAGUCGCUAGUAAUCGCAGAUCAGCAACGCUGCGGUGAAUACGUUCCCGGGCCUUGUACACACCGCCCGUCAAGUCACGAAAGUUGGUAACACCCGAAGCCGGUGGCCUAACCCCUUGUGGGAGGGAGCCGUCGAAGGUGGGACUGGCGAUUGGGACUAAGUCGUAACAAGGUAGCCGUACCGGAAGGUGCGGCUGGAUCACCUCCUUUCUAAGGAG
This 1535-nucleotide ribosomal RNA is filed under the name Kocuria rosea subsp. polaris. RNAcentral's name for it is "bacterial SSU rRNA". It matches the Rfam family "Bacterial small subunit ribosomal RNA". The record is from RNAcentral. Lineage: Bacteria; Bacillati; Actinomycetota; Actinomycetes; Micrococcales; Micrococcaceae.